This 572-nucleotide ribosomal RNA is filed under the name Aaptos sp. WAMZ3615. Its description in RNAcentral is "eukaryotic LSU rRNA". It matches the Rfam family "Eukaryotic large subunit ribosomal RNA", at positions 411 to 913 of the family's 3401-position model. Lineage: Eukaryota; Metazoa; Porifera; Demospongiae; Suberitida; Suberitidae. The record is from RNAcentral.
GGAGGGAAACGAAUGCAGCUAAAUUAGCUCUGUUUCAGGCUCAGGAGAUUGUUGGUUUGCGAUGCCGGGCUUCAAAAGCCGAUAGGUUUUGAUUCCGGAUAGUGGUCGGCAUUCCUGAGUGGAGCUAGCCAACAACAGUUGCACGUGGCUGAUAAGGGAAACAUAUAGCCAUCUGCGACUGAGGAGAACAGUGUAGGCCCUUGGGCCGCUUCUGGUCGUUUCACCGCGCUUGGGGCAGUGUCAUGUGACGGCUGUCUGCUCGAACGGGAGACCGGUCACACCUUACACUGUAGUUGUUGGUGUUCAAAUGGCUGCAUCCGACCCGUCUUGAAACACGGACCAAGGAGUGCAACAUGCGUGCGAGUCUUUGGGUAUCAAACCCAGCGGCACAAUGAAAGUGAAGGCAGGCCGCAUCGUCGACCGAUCCCAGGUCACGCUGUGGCGGGAUUUGAGUGAGAGCGUGCCUGUUGCGACCCGAAAGAUGGUGAACUAUGCCUGAAUAGGGUGAAGCCAGAGGAAACUCUGGUGGAAGCUCGUAGCGAUUCUGACGUGCAAAUCGAUCGUCAAAUUUG